CGUAGGGCGCAAGCGUUGUCCGGAAUUAUUGGGCGUAAAGAGCUCGUAGGCGGCUUGUCACGUCGGAUGUGAAAGCCCGGGGCUUAACCCCGGGUCUGCAUUCGAUACGGGCUAGCUAGAGUGUGGUAGGGGAGAUCGGAAUUCCUGGUGUAGCGGUGAAGUGCGCAGAUAUCAGGAGGAACACCGGUGGCGAAGGCGGAUCUCUGGGCCAUUACUGACGCUGAGGAGCGAAAGCGUGGGGAGCGAACAGGAUUAGAUACCCUGGUAGUCCACGCCGUAAACGUUGGGAACUAGGUGUUGGCGACAUUCCACGUCGUCGGUGCCGCAGCUAACGCAUUAAGUUCCCCGCCUGGGGAGUACGGCCGCAAGGCUA
Molecule: ribosomal RNA, 373 nt
Filed under: uncultured organism
Description: bacterial SSU rRNA
Rfam family: Bacterial small subunit ribosomal RNA
Source: RNAcentral